This is a long non-coding RNA of Equus asinus (donkey), 1569 nucleotides long. The record is from Ensembl. Lineage: Eukaryota; Metazoa; Chordata; Mammalia; Perissodactyla; Equidae.
CUCAGAAGAGCUUUGCUCUUUUUUAUUCAUGUGCGUUGUUUUAAUAGAUUUUAUUUUUCCUUUUUCUCCCCAAAUCCCCUGGUACAUAGUUGUAUAUUUUUAGUUGUGGGUCCUUCUAGUUGUGGCAUGUGGGAUGCUGCCUCAGCAUGGCUUGAUGAGUGGUGCUGUGUUGGUGCCAACUUAACCACUCGGCCACGGGGCCGGCCCCUUAGCCUUGCUUUUUAAAAUCCUGUACCAAGAAGAACCACGAUAGAAGGCUUUUUCAGAUAUAAAACAGUUUUGUUUUUGUUUUAGCUCAGCUGUAAGUGAGAAGGCACAGCUUCCUUGUCCAUUCCCUCAAAAGCAGCCCAGCUAUACAGGAGGGAGUCACUGGCUGGCCUGCAAUAGGGUCCACCCCUUACAAGACCAUAGCUCCAGGUCUCGUAAGUCCAGUUGAAGUCCUUUCGAACUUGGGAGUCAGGCUGCAUCACAGGUUUCUUCAACUGGGUCGUAGAUGGCAGCCAGCUCAAGUAAAGUUUCUUUAACGGAACAAUUCAUAAAAAGCCAUUCCAACACACCUGUCCAGGGCAUCAGUUCCGCGCAGGCCUCCCCAGAUCCUCUCCCGCGCUCUGAGUUCUCAGCCCAGCAUGGAAGCCGAAGGGGCGGGUCCUUUCGGGGAUCGCGGCAGCUCGGUCCACGGCGUCCGUCGUUGCCCUGGCUUCUGGUUCAGAGCGGCGCGGCGGCGUCCCUCCGGCGGGCGGCCCGCACCAGGCACUGCUGCAGGACGGGGUAGAGGCGCUGGCAGCCCUCGAGGCCCAGGCGCACGGCCUCAGCCCAGCUCUCGGUCGGGCCGCCCUCCCCGCUGCCCAGCAGCCCGGCCACCUGGUUGAGAACGGGCAUGAGCGCCACCGUGAGGCCGGCGGCGGCGCGAUCCUCCUCGAGCCGCGUGGGGUCCAGCAGCCAGGUGGGCGCGGGCCCCGGCGCACGGCUCAGGCCGCAGCCCACCACCAGGUCGUACAUCUCGACGCCCGCGUCGGCCAGGGCAAGCGCGGCGGCCGUGAGCGCGGCGGCCAGGGCCGAGCCGCCGUCCUCGAGCAGCAACGCCGAUACCUCGAGCUGCGCGCGCGGGUAGCGGCCCAGGCGCACGGCCGGCUCGAGCGCCUCCUGCAGGGCCAGCGCCAGCUCGCGCUCCUCGCCACCCCCCGGGGGCGCGCGGCGCCGGCGGGCCCGCGAAAGGCGCGCGGCGAAAGUCGCAGAGCAGGCGGCCGCGCAGCGCGGCCGGGGCCUCGCCGCCCGCUCCGGCCGGGCCGCCGCCGCGCUCGCCGCCCUCGGCCUGGCGCGGACCAGACACGGCGCACAGCACCUUGGUGCCCCCCGCCUCCAGGUAGGCCGAGCCCUUGGCCUGGCUCAGCAGCCCGGCGCGCGCGUACACGGGCCGCAGCCGCGUCGGGUCGCGAGCGGCGGGCGCCUCCUCCUCGUCGGCGGCGUACAGCUGCGGCGGCUGCGACUCCUCCGGGCCGCGGAUGCGGCGGUGGUCCCCGGGCAUGGCGGCGCCGGGCGUGUGCGCCGCUUCCGCCCGCCCGGCCUAGC